Molecule: ribosomal RNA, 606 nt
Filed under: uncultured bacterium
Lineage: Bacteria
Description: bacterial SSU rRNA
Rfam family: Bacterial small subunit ribosomal RNA
Source: RNAcentral
CGCCGCGUGAGGGAUGAAGGCCUCUGGGCUGUAAACCUAUUUUAUCAAAGAAGAAGAUCUGAGGUACUUGAUGAAUAAGCCACGGCUAAUUCCGUGCCAGCAGCCGCGGUAAUACGGGAGUGGCAAGCGUUAUCUGGAAUUAUUGGGCGUAAAGCGUCCGCAGGCGGUUUUGUAAGUCUGUCGUUAAGGCGUGGAGCUUAACUCCAUUUAGGCGGUGGAAACUACAAGACUAGAGUGUGGUAGGGGCAGAGGGAAUUCCCGGUGUAGCGGUGAAAUGCGUAGAUAUCGGGAAGAACACCAGUGGCGAAGGCGCUCUGCUGGGCCAUAACUGACGCUCAUGGACGAAAGCCAGGGGAGCGAAAGGGAUUAGAUACCCCUGUAGUCCUGGCCGUAAACGAUGAACACUAGGUGUUGGGGGAAUCGACCCCCUCGGUGUCGUAGCCAACGCGUUAAGUGUUCCGCCUGGGGAGUACGCACGCAAGUGUGAAACUCAAAGGAAUUGACGGGGGCCCGCACAAGCGGUGGAGUAUGUGGUUUAAUUCGAUGCAACGCGAAGAACCUUACCAGGGUUUGACAUCCUGCGAAUCUCUUGGAAACGAGAGAGUA